RNAcentral lists this long non-coding RNA (2124 nucleotides) under Stylophora pistillata. Its description in RNAcentral is "uncharacterized LOC111322237". The record is from RNAcentral. Lineage: Eukaryota; Metazoa; Cnidaria; Anthozoa; Scleractinia; Pocilloporidae.
GACAAGAUCUCCAUUACCUAAAUCAUGAGACUAUGCACGAAAUUUAUUCUAUUAUUUGUCACAUUGAUGAAUAAAUGCUAAAACAGUCGCCAUUUUCAGUCCAAGGUCGUUUGCCCAAAUUUUCUCAGACUAUGGCCGCUAAGAACAAUGAAAACUUUACAUCGCUUACAGACAGCAACAAUCAAAAUUUCCAACAAUCAUAUAAUCAAUCAUAAUGUUCAAGAUUUGGAAUUUAAUGCACAUCUUAGGGGGCAUUGACACCCAACAUGGAACAGCUAGACGACUCUGCAUUUACUCCUUUUGACAUAAAGUACAUACAAAGCAUUCUGGAACAAUUAAAUCCAAGAAAAUCUGUUGGGAUGGACAACAUAAUCUUCACAUCUGCUGAGGCUAUCUUCUCCAAGCGUCUCCACUGAAGAUACAAAGCUCAUCAACCAUUUUAUAAAUACUCAAAGUAUACACAAAGAAUGGAAAAGCAGUAAUAUUAUGCCAGUAUACAAGAAAGGAAGUAAAACAGACAAAGCCAAUUACAGACCGGUUUCUGUCCUAACCAUAUUAUCAAAAGUCUUUGAAAAAGUUAUCUAUGAUCAGAUCUAUCCAGUUAUGUCACCUCUACUGUCCCGCAACCUAUCGGGAUACAUGAAAGGUCAUUCGUGUGCAACAGCAAUUUUGAAGAUGACUGAGGAUUGGCGUGAAAGUUUGGACAAAGGAGAAACCAUCGCAACUGUAUCAGUAGAUCUCAGCAAAGUGUUUGACAGCGUAAACCACAAUUUGCUGCUGGCUAAAAUAUGAGCUUACGGUUUUUCUGAAGCAGCUACAAAAUUGCUGGGUGAAUACCUAAGAGAUCCUCACCAAAGAGUUAAGAUUGAUGGCAUAUGCUCUGGCUGGAGAAUAGUUAAAGCAGGUGUGCCACAGGGAUAUUUACUUGGUCCACUUUUGUUCAAUACAUUAUCUUCAUAGAUGAUAUUAAUUAUUGUACAUCUAAUAUGACGCUGAGAUUAUAUGCUGAUGAUACCACCAGCUGUUCGUCUGAUGCUUCUUUGACAGCAUUACAGUUUAUGGUUAACGAAGACUUGUUAACCCUUGCUACAUGGUUUAAACAAAAUUAUCUCUCUAUUAACAAUACAAAGACUCAGGCCAUGAUUCUUGGUUCUUCGACAUAUGAAUAUGAGAUCCAAAUUAAUGGAAUCAAAGUAGAUGUUAAACCCACUUUGAAAAUCUUGGGUGUCACCUUGGAUAAAAGACUUUCCUUUAAGGAGCAUAUCACUGAACAGCUUAAAAAAGUUUAUGCAAAGACUGCCGCCUUAACUGAAAAGAAUCUCCCAAUUAAUAUCGGUGAACACUAUGAUAUUAUUAAAUAAAGCAUUCAUUGUCCCACAUUUAGAAUAUUGUAGCAUGUUAUUUAUUGGUCUUGGCAAAGUGCAGGCCAAUAGACUUGAAGACACUAAUUAUUACAUUAUUUUUAAGAAUGUUAUUUAAACUUAAAAAUAUCAGUUGUGAAAGUCCUUUAGAAUUAGUUAAAUCAAGUGCUUAAAGACGGCGUAGGUAUUAUCAGACAUUGAUUUUGAUAAUUAUAUAAAUGCCUUAAUUCUAUUGGUCCUACGGUAUUUAUGUUACUGACUUUUUAAAUUCAAGACAUGUAGGCUAUAAUCUCAGGGGUCAAGGCAGUAAUCUGGCUCAACCUCAUUUUAAUUCUGAGUGGCUGCAUAAAUCUUUCUCUUUCAUUGCCAGUAAGCUAUGGAAUAAGUUACCUAUGGAAGUUAGGAAAAGUGAAAACAUCAAGGCUUUUAAAACAGCUUUGAAGAAGUUUGACUUGGAAUUUGCUUUGGGGAUUUCUUCAGUACUGCAUAUUUCAUAUAUAAAUCUGGUUAGAAGGGACAGUUAAUUAAAGAUGAAUUAUACAUUAGAGUAGUUAUAGUAGUUGGGGAUUUCUUACUGCACAUUUUUGGUUCGGAAGGGACGGGUCAUAAAUCAUAAAUAAUUGUAAAAGAUUAUAAUGAUUUUCAUACUCUUUUUAUUAUAUGUUAUAACAUAUUUUUUAGUAUUUAGCACGUGCACGUUCUUGUAAUGAGCUUUGUUGUAAGCUCUUUUGUGUUCAACGAGAAUAAAUAAACUUUUAAAAUA